RNAcentral lists this ribosomal RNA (443 nucleotides) under uncultured bacterium. Its description in RNAcentral is "partial 16S ribosomal RNA". It matches the Rfam family "Bacterial small subunit ribosomal RNA", at positions 338 to 795 of the family's 1533-position model. The record is from RNAcentral.
CCUACGGGGGGCAGCAGUGGGGAAUAUUGGGCAAUGGGCGCAAGCCUGACCCAGCAACGCCGCGUGCAGGAAGAAGGCUUUCGGGUUGUAAACUUCUUUUCUCAGGGACGAAGCAAGUGACGGUACCUGAGGAAUAAGCCACGGCUAACUACGUGCCAGCAGCCGCGGUAAUACGUAGGUGGCAAGCGUUAUCCGGAUUUACUGGGUGUAAAGGGCGAGUAGGCGGGACUGUAAGGCAGAUGUGAAAACCAUGGGCUCAACCUAUGGACUGGAUUUGAAACUGUAGUUCUUGAGUACUGGGGAGGCAGACGGAAUUCCUGGUGUAGCGGUGAAAUGCGUAGAUAUUAGGAGGAACACCAGUUGCGAAGGCGGUCUGCUGGACAGCAACUGACGCUGAGGCGCGAAAGCGUGGGGAGCAAACAGGAUUAGAUACCCGAGUAGUC